AACAUACUCCCUCCGUCCCAAAAUUAUUGUCUAUAGAUUUGUCUAAAUACGGAUGUAUCAAGUCACGUUUUAGUAUUAGAUACAUCCAUAUCUAGACAAAUCUAACACAAGAAUUUUGGGACGGAGGGAGUAUAUU
Non-coding RNA from Triticum aestivum (bread wheat), 136 nucleotides. The record is from Rfam. NCBI's taxonomy places the organism in Eukaryota, Viridiplantae, Streptophyta, Magnoliopsida, Poales, Poaceae.